This 1164-nucleotide ribosomal RNA is filed under the name Triticum aestivum (bread wheat). RNAcentral describes it as "partial small subunit ribosomal RNA". The record is from RNAcentral. Lineage: Eukaryota; Viridiplantae; Streptophyta; Magnoliopsida; Poales; Poaceae.
AUGAAGGAAGAAGUUACUAGCUAUUUUUUAAAGCUCUUUACCUCCCAUGCAGGAAAUCGCCACGACGAGCUCCUGGCUAGUGUGCACCCGCGAGUCACCCCAGCCAUGAAUGAUCUUCUUCAGAGAGAGUAUGCACAGGAGGAGGUUUUUGAUGCAUUGAAGAGCAUUGGAGAUCUAAAAGCGCCUGGUCCGGACGGAAUGCCUUCGGUCUUCUAUAAGAGAUGUUGGGACAUUGUUGGAGACGAUGUUGUGACUGAGGUUCUAGCAGUGUUGAAUGGUGGACCUAUGCCAGAUGGGUGGAGUGAGACGUAUGUGGUGCUGAUCCCAAAAGUUAAAAGUCCAGAGAGGGGUGUCACUACUGAAAGAAGGGCUGGUAUACAGGGUGGGCGAUGGUACUUCGAUCAAAAUCUGGUCCGACCCUUGGCUCUCUCGGGAUGGUGUGAGAACCCCAACAACACAGAGGGGGGAUGCUUACUAACCAGGGUCUGCGAGCUGGUGGAUCCGGAUACCCAAAGCUGGGAUGAAAGGCUUGUGGAGGAUAUUUUUAGAGAGGAUGAUGCCAGUAUCAUACUUGCUACUCCGGUCCGAGAGGAACACGAUGAUUUCUAUGCAUGGCACUAUGAUAGCAAAGGAAUAUUCUCUGUCAAGUCUGCCUACAAGGUUUAUGUCUCGGGGAGGGAUGCAUGUCUUCCACAAUGUGUGAAUCCACAACCAAACAGCUGGGGAUGGAAGGAAAUAUGGAGCAUACCUUGCCAACCAAAGAUUCAGCAGUUCAUAUGGCGACUAGCACACAACAACCUACCUCUGAAACUUAGGAUGCACAUGAACUGCUGCUUGAAAUGCUGCGACUGCCGGAAGAUAGGAAAGUUCUGGUUGGGUGGCUGGGGCUUCGCGAUCCGGGAUCAGGCUGGGGAUGUACGAGGAUCAAGUGCAGGCUUUCUGAGCCAUGUGGCUUCAGCGAUACAGACUGAAGUAGAGGGGUGUGCAAUGGCACUUGCGGCAGCGUCCAGCUGGGGUAUGACAGACAUCGAGGUUGAAUUGGACUGUCAACAGUUGGUUAACGCCCUGAAUGGUACUGGAUUCGACCUGGCACCUGAAGGCAUCCUUUUCAGGGAGAUACGUGCGUUCGCAAGCCUGAACUUCAACUCUGUUUCUUUUAACUAG